RNAcentral lists this unclassified non-coding RNA (263 nucleotides) under plant metagenome. Its description in RNAcentral is "partial contains small subunit ribosomal RNA, internal transcribed spacer 1, and 5.8S ribosomal RNA". The record is from RNAcentral.
UUUCCGUAGGUGAACCUGCGGAAGGAUCAUUAUUGUAUAACCGAGGUACGAGGCCUGUCGCUGAUCCGUAAGGUCGCGCACGCCCGGGUGCACUCACACACUUCCAUCUGACCCCUAUGUGCACCACCGCGUGGGUCCCCCUUUGGCUUGUUCGGAGGGGGGCUUACGUUUUCACACAAACUUUGUAUGCAGUGUAGAAUGUAUUUUUUGUUUUUGCGAUCACGCAAUCAAUACAACUUUCAACAACGGAUCUCUUGGCUCUC